This 399-nucleotide long non-coding RNA is filed under the name Lactuca sativa (garden lettuce). Its description in RNAcentral is "long non-coding RNA (LSAT_LNC010130)". The record is from RNAcentral. Lineage: Eukaryota; Viridiplantae; Streptophyta; Magnoliopsida; Asterales; Asteraceae.
UGCAACGGUCGUCGGUGUUGUUGGGUGCGAUGAUCUUCGGCGAUGGCAAUUGGUGGCGACAAUCGGGAAUCGCUAGAGGCGUGCAACUGUUGUGUGUUUUCUUUGUCUGAUGUGUCUCAUACUGACGAAACCUUUAAUUAGGUUAAAGUGUACUGUUAAAUAAGCAAACAAAACUGCAAAAAUGGACAGCCAGUGAUAGAGGCGCAUACUUAGAGGUGGAGGGAAAGCCGGUGAUAUAGGCGCUGCAAAUUAAAGGGUGGCGACGACCAAAAUUUGGUGAUGGAGGAGAAUAGGGUGGUAGGGGGAAAGAAUGGAUGGCCUAAGACGCGUUCUUCUAGGGCAAUAAAAGAUAGGAGGGGGAGGGAGAUCGAGAUAGGCAUGGGUACGAAAUCAAGAGGC